AGUGAACGCUGGCGGUAGACCUAACACAUGCAAGUCGAACGGCAGCACAGUAAGAGCUUGCUCUUACGGGUGGCGAGUGGCGGACGGGUGAGGAAUACAUCGGAAUCUACUUUUUCGUGGGGGAUAACGUAGGGAAACUUACGCUAAUACCGCAUACGACCUACGGGUGAAAGCAGGGGAUCUUCGGACCUUGCGCGAUUGAAUGAGCCGAUGUCGGAUUAGCUAGUUGGCGGGGUAAAGGCCCACCAAGGCGACGAUCCGUAGCUGGUCUGAGAGGAUGAUCAGCCACACUGGAACUGAGACACGGUCCAGACUCCUACGGGAGGCAGCAGUGGGGAAUAUUGGACAAUGGGCGCAAGCCUGAUCCAGCCAUACCGCGUGGGUGAAGAAGGCCUUCGGGUUGUAAGGCCCUUUUGUUGGGAAAGAAAAGCAGCAGGUUAAUACCCCGCUGUUCUGACGGUACCCAAAGAAUAAGCACCGGCUAACUUCGUG
This 492-nucleotide ribosomal RNA is filed under the name uncultured bacterium. RNAcentral's name for it is "partial 16S ribosomal RNA". It matches the Rfam family "Bacterial small subunit ribosomal RNA", at positions 29 to 507 of the family's 1533-position model. The record is from RNAcentral.